UACGUAGGGUGCAAGCGUUAAUCGGAAUUAUUGGGCGUAAAGCGCGCGCAGGUGGUUCCUUAAGUCUGAUGUGAAAGCCCACGGCUCAACCGUGGAGGGUCAUUGGAAACUGGGGAACUUGAGUGCAGAAGAGGAAAGUGGAAUUCCAAGUGUAGCGGUGAAAUGCGUAGAGAUUUGGAGGAACACCGGUGGCGAAGGCGGCAUCCUGGACCAAUUCUGGACGCUG
RNAcentral lists this ribosomal RNA (226 nucleotides) under uncultured bacterium. Its description in RNAcentral is "partial 16S ribosomal RNA". It matches the Rfam family "Bacterial small subunit ribosomal RNA", at positions 524 to 748 of the family's 1533-position model. The record is from RNAcentral.